CCAGUACCUGCGUGAUUCGUCAUAGACAUAAACAGAGAGAAGUAGCUCCGGCUACAAUGUUCGUCCGCAAAACGCAUGCAGUUCGGUUUAUUAACAGCUAAAUUAGAAGUUACGGACUGCAGCUUUAAUUAAACACAAUCUAAUAGGUAGCAAAUGCAAUUUAUUUUUAUUUUUCGGCCGUAGCUGUAUCAUUUCUAGCCACAACCGCGAGAGAGAGUCAGUGUCAUGUGACACACCUGUGUGACGUCGCAGCCAGUUUGCAGCGCAGGUGGUAAAUCCCGGAACACACAAACGACCAAAAUGUUUGUUAUCUAAAUGAAAGAGUCUUUCUCGACAGUUUUGCAAGCGAAUAUAAUUUCUGUGAUAACAAAGAAGGCUGUUCACCAUGUCUAGACCUGACCGUGUCGGACUGACCCACUGUAAGUGUCUCCUGGUGUUUGCAGUCUUUAUGGAUCUUUUCGGUGUGUCUGCUCUUCUGAUCGGCGUCUUCGUCCCGCUUGAAAUCGGGGGUCGUGACUUUGGUGAUCUGUUGGUGUAUUCGGGAGCUCUGCUGGUGUUGAUGUCUAUGGGGGGCUGGGUCAUGUGGUACAGUGGGAAUAUUGAGGGUUUGAUAUCAGGGAAUGAGCUGACACACAAACGCAAUGCCGUGGACCGGUUCGCUCGCACCCUGAGUCGCCGCAUACGGAAACCCCACCGCAGCCACAGCACAUCCUGACCUCUGACCUCUAGACAUGGCUGAGAGCACAUACAAAGGGCUUGGGAUACCACAAAUAAGGCCAAAAUCUCAGUUGGAAACUAAGGAAAAUGGAAUGAUAAAGAACGUUUUACAAGGAUGAAGGUUGACGGAUACAGUAUAAUUGUUACGAUGUGGUGUUUGCUACUACUACUAUAAAAAAAAGUAUGACAUUGCAGUUAUUUGGUAAUACCUGUACUGUAGUGCUUUAUACAUUUUGACAGUUGUACGUAUGCGCUGAUAUUUUUGUACACGUAAUUCUGUAUUUCUUUUUGCAGCAAAACUUUUUUUAAAAUAUCUUCUGUUGUACAAAACAUGGGUGAUUAAAUUUCAAGCACUGAUACAUUUUUCAUAUUUUAAAAUUAAACAUGUAGCUUUAGUGCUUUGUUUGAAUAAUACUGAAUCACUUUUCAGAUCAAAACUCAACAAUUUAUGAUUUUAGUGAAAAUGUAUUUGCAAAGUUGCACAUUUUCAUAACACAUCUUCCAGAUAACAAAACAUUAACACAACAUUAAAGUCACGUUCUCUCUCACUCAUUAAAUAGGUAGAGCCACACAUUCCCCCAUUCAAAAAUACUGCAAAAAAUGCCAUACAGAAGCCUCCAUUAUUUUUACAGCAAAGAAACCAACAACCAAAAAUAAUAAAAUUAAAAAUAAAACCUCACCAUAAACACCAAACCUAAAAAAAAAAAAAAAUUUGUUCAGAUUGAAAUAUAUGCACUAUAGAUGUAAAUGUCACAAAAUGUAGGUAGUGUGUCAAACUUGGUCAGUUUCUUGUCAUUUUGAGAUUAUUUUUCUUUGUGCAAGUUUCCAGUUGAUCUAAUGCACAACAAGCAACCAACAGAUUGUGUUUGAAAAUACUUAAUGUCAUGACCAGCAGCAUUUCAGUUUAAAUGCAUCACUCCUCAUGAUUUGAAAAAAUAAAUAAAACUAUAUUAAUAAUUUCUGGCCUAGUAUUACAAUCAGAACCUGUCUUUUUUAUGGUAUUUAGGAUGAUUGUGUACAAAAAAAAAAAAUCACUGGUCAAAUACA
This is a long non-coding RNA of Sinocyclocheilus rhinocerous, 1764 nucleotides long. RefSeq lists it as uncharacterized. The transcript is spliced from 3 exons. The record is from RefSeq and is a predicted model, not a curated record. NCBI's taxonomy places the organism in Eukaryota, Metazoa, Chordata, Actinopteri, Cypriniformes, Cyprinidae.